Molecule: ribosomal RNA, 468 nt
Filed under: uncultured bacterium
Lineage: Bacteria
Description: partial 16S ribosomal RNA
Rfam family: Bacterial small subunit ribosomal RNA
Source: RNAcentral
GACGAACGCUGGCGGCGGGCUUAACACAUGCAAGUCGAACGGAAAGGCCCUGCUUUUGUGGGGUGCUCGAGUGGCGAACGGGUGAGUAACACGUGAGUAACCUGCCCUUGACUUUGGGAUAACUUCAGGAAACUGGGGCUAAUACCGGAUAGGAGCUCCUGCUGCAUGGUGGGGGUUGGAAAGUUUCGGCGGUUGGGGAUGGACUCGCGGCUUAUCAGCUUGUUGGUGGGGGAGUGGCUUACCAAGGCUUUGACGGGUAGCCGGCCUGAGAGGGUGACCGGCCACAUUGGGACUGAGAUACGGCGCAGACUCCUACGGGAGGCAGCAGUGGGGAAUAUUGCACAAUGGGCGGAAGCCUGAUGCAGCAACGCCGCGUGCGGGAUGACGGCCUUCGGGUUGUAAACCGCUUUCGCCUGUGACGAAGCGUGAGUGACGGUAAUGGGUAAAGAAGCACCGGCUAACUACGUG